UGGGGAAUUUUGGACAAUGGGGGCAACCCUGAUCCAGCAAUGCCGCGUGUGUGAAGAAGGCCUUCGGGUUGUAAAGCACUUUUGUCCGGAAAGAAAACUUCGGGGCUAAUACCCCUGGAGGAUGACGGUACCGGAAGAAUAAGCACCGGCUAACUACGUGCCAGCAGCCGCGGUAAUACGUAGAGUGCGAGCGUUAAUCGGAAUUACUGGGCGUAAAGCGUGCGCAGGCGGUGCUGUAAGACCGAUGUGAAAUCCCCGGGCUUAACCUGGGAACUGCAUUGGUGACUGCAGCGCUGGAGUAUGGCAGAGGGGGGUGGAAUUCCACGUGUAGCAGUGAAAUGCGUAGAGAUGUGGAGGAACACCGAUGGCGAAGGCAGCCCCCUGGGCCAAUACUGACGCUCAUGCACGAAAGCGUGGGGAGCAAACAGG
RNAcentral lists this ribosomal RNA (429 nucleotides) under bacterium. RNAcentral describes it as "partial 16S ribosomal RNA". It matches the Rfam family "Bacterial small subunit ribosomal RNA", at positions 355 to 776 of the family's 1533-position model. The record is from RNAcentral.